CCGCAACGAGCGCAACCCUUAUCCUUUGUUGCCAGCGAUUAGGUCGGGAACUCAAAGGAGACUGCCAGUGAUAAACUGGAGGAAGGUGGGGAUGACGUCAAGUCAUCAUGGCCCUUACGACCAGGGCUACACACGUGCUACAAUGGCGCAUACAAAGAGAAGCGACCUCGCGAGAGCAAGCGGACCUCAUAAAGUGCGUCGUAGUCCGGAUUGGAGUCUGCAACUCGACUCCAUGAAGUCGGAAUCGCUAGUAAUCGUGGAUCAGAAUGCCACGGUGAAUACGUUCCCGGGCCUUGUACACACCGCCCGUCACACCAUGGGAGUGGGUUGCAAAAGAAGUAGGUAGCUUAACCUUCGGGAGGGCGCUUACCACUUUGUGAUUCAUGACUGGGGUGAAGUCGUAACAAGGUAACCGUAGGGGAACCUGCGGUUGGA
RNAcentral lists this ribosomal RNA (435 nucleotides) under Salmonella enterica. RNAcentral's name for it is "bacterial SSU rRNA". It matches the Rfam family "Bacterial small subunit ribosomal RNA", at positions 1087 to 1522 of the family's 1533-position model. RNAcentral also lists the same sequence under 3 other names. The record is from RNAcentral. Lineage: Bacteria; Pseudomonadati; Pseudomonadota; Gammaproteobacteria; Enterobacterales; Enterobacteriaceae.